This 168-nucleotide small nuclear RNA is filed under the name Canis lupus familiaris (dog). Its description in RNAcentral is "U4 spliceosomal RNA (ENSCAFG00030011484.1, ENSCAFG00805012671.1)". The stretch from base 1 to 139 matches the Rfam family "U4 spliceosomal RNA". From Rfam's summary of the family: U4 small nuclear RNA (U4 snRNA) is a component of the major U2-dependent spliceosome. The record is from RNAcentral. Lineage: Eukaryota; Metazoa; Chordata; Mammalia; Carnivora; Canidae.
AGCUUUGCGCAGUGGCAGUAUCGUAGCCAAUGAGGUUUAUCCGAGGCGCGAUUAUUGCUAAUUGUGUAUGGUGUAAGAGAAUGGUCUAGUUUCAUUCUUCUGCAUGUGGAUGUCCAAUUUUCCCAGCACAAUUUAUUGAAGAGACUGUCUUUCUUCCAGUGGAUAGUC